AUGAACGCUGGCGGCGUGCCUAAUACAUGCAAGUCGAGUGAACAGACGAGGAGCUUGCUCCUCUGACGUUAGCGGCGGACGGGUGAGUAACACGUGGAUAACCUACCUAUAAGACUGGGAUAACUUCGGGAAACCGGAGCUAAUACCGGAUAAUAUAUUGAACCGCAUGGUUCAAUAGUGAAAGACGGUUUUGCUGUCACUUAUAGAUGGAUCCGCGCCGCAUUAGCUAGUUGGUGAGGUAACGGCUUACCAAGGCAACGAUGCGUAGCCGACCUGAGAGGGUGAUCGGCCACACUGGAACUGAGACACGGUCCAGACUCCUACGGGAGGCAGCAGUAGGGAAUCUUCCGCAAUGGGCGAAAGCCUGACGGAGCAACGCCGCGUGAGUGAUGAAGGUCUUCGGAUCGUAAAACUCUGUUAUUAGGGAAGAACAAAUGUGUAAGUAACUAUGCACGUCUUGACGGUACCUAAUCAGAAAGCCACGGCUAACUACGUG
RNAcentral lists this ribosomal RNA (496 nucleotides) under uncultured bacterium. RNAcentral describes it as "partial 16S ribosomal RNA". It matches the Rfam family "Bacterial small subunit ribosomal RNA", at positions 29 to 507 of the family's 1533-position model. The record is from RNAcentral.